RNAcentral lists this ribosomal RNA (421 nucleotides) under Verrucomicrobiota bacterium. RNAcentral's name for it is "Verrucomicrobia bacterium partial 16S ribosomal RNA". It matches the Rfam family "Bacterial small subunit ribosomal RNA", at positions 355 to 776 of the family's 1533-position model. The record is from RNAcentral. Lineage: Bacteria; Pseudomonadati; Verrucomicrobiota.
UGGGGAAUAUUGCACAAUGGACGAAAGUUUGAUGCAGCGACGCCGCGUGGAGGGUGUAGGCCUUCGGGUUGUGAACUCCUUUUUCUCGCGAAAAAGGCACAGUUUUGGCUGUGUUGAUGGUAGUGGGGGAAGAAGCGCCGGCUAACUACGUGCCAGCAGCCGCGGUAAUACGUAGGGCGCGAGCGUUGUCCGGAUUUAUUGGGCGUAAAGAGCUCGUAGGCGGCAAAUUAAGUCAGAUGUGAAAACUAAGGGCUCAACCCAUAGAUUGCAUCUGAAACUGAUAUGCUUGAGUCAAGGAGAGGGAAGUGGAAUUCCUAGUGUAGCGGUGGAAUGCGUAGAUAUUAGGAGGAAUACCGGUGGCGAAGGCGACUUUCUGGACUUGAACUGACGCUGGGGCACGAAAGCGUGGGGAGCAAACAGG